This is a long non-coding RNA of Enhydra lutris kenyoni (northern sea otter), 1430 nucleotides long. RefSeq lists it as uncharacterized. The transcript has 2 exons. The record is from RefSeq and is a predicted model, not a curated record. NCBI's taxonomy places the organism in Eukaryota, Metazoa, Chordata, Mammalia, Carnivora, Mustelidae.
AAAGUACCCGCACACACACACACACACACACACAGACACAUGCACACAAAUGAAGGCAAAGUAUAAAGUGCUUGUUUGCGCUUAUGUGCGAAGUAUUACAGCAAAUAAAGAGACAACAGUGGAGAACCUAAGAGCCACAUGGACAUGAAGAAUGUUCCUGGAGCAACAUUACCAUUUUUCAUAGUUGGAAAAACUGAGUAUCAUACAAUAGACCGAGAAUUCAAAUAUUUAUAGAACAAAAGCUGAUAAUAAAGGAAGACAUGCUGUCAGACCUCAAGAUAUACAGAGAAGUAACAGCUACGUUGACGAAAGAAUAUUACAAGAAUAAAUAUUUUACCUAAGAAAACACCUUUAGCUACUUCACUGCUAAGAUACUAUCAGUGCUGCCCAUUAUACUUAAAACCGCUCCGAAGAGCAGAAAGAAGUUUCGGAUACACAUUCACGCCAUCCUUCUACAUCAGAAGUGAAUGGUGUGCACUUCUCAAUGGCAUCUUUUUCCCCCUUCCCACAUGAGUUUCGAAACCAUCUUAUAAGCCUGUCAGGCAUAUUUCUUGUUCAUUCCUUCUGUGGGGCAGAGGCAGACAGAUUGCUGGAUCAGAUAGUGCAAUACGCUGUAUACUGCAUUUGAAAUGUGCCUUUUUUUAAAGCAGCAGAUUUAUUGAUUUUCUUAAGUAGAAAAUAUGCACCCGGACAUUAGACAAACACAGACUAAACACAGACUGAGGAAAAGCUGAUAAUUUGAUUAAACUGACUGAGCUUUUGUUGUCUGUGUUUGGGGAAUUUCCAAUAAUGCACAAGUGCCAAGCGCCCCUCUUCUACUGAAUUUAACAAAUGUAAUCCCUAAGCACAAUGAAUGUUACAAUUAUACUGUAUUUGGAGAAUUGUUUUUCUUUAGAAAAAUAUUUUGAUGAGCCUAUAUAUUGCUUAGGUUGAAAGGAAGGGUGGGGUAAAAAUCUUGCCUUGCUCAAGAUACAGGACUUCAUUCAGAAAGGGGUCUAAGUAUUAGCUAGGCAAAAAGCAUUCAUUCGAUGGAAAUAUUUUCUUUCUUUCUAUCUACAUACCUAUCAAGAUUACAGAGAUAUAAUUGAUUAAAUGUAAUUUCCUCAAUUUUAGGGUCAAAUUGAGUUCAAUAUUUAAGGUUUAUAAUGCUUCACAGUGUCAUUUCACAUGUCGUAGGGAACAGUUUAGUUGUCUCAAGAUGUCAAAAAGCUCUGGUUAUUUAAUUUACUCUUAUGGAUGCCUGCAAUGAAAUUAGUGGCAGAAAGGAUGUGUGUGUGUGUGUGUGUGUGUGUGUGUGUGAACAGGGAUAAGGGAAUCAUAGCUAAAAUUAUGUGAGGAUUACUGAGUUUUAUGAAUCAGUUGAGUGAGCCCUUGUGAACAUCAGCUAUAAACAACUCUGAGCUGUCCCUGUAUCUUUUUUUUUUUUUUAA